UACGUAGGGUGCGAGCGUUGUCCGGAAUUAUUGGGCGUAAAGAGCUCGUAGGCGGUUUGUCGCGUGGGCUGUGAAAACCCGGAGCUCAACUCCGGGCCUGCAGUCGAUACGGGCGGGCUAGAGUUCGGCAGGGGAGACUGGAAUUCCUGGUGUAGCGGUGAAAUGCGCAGAUAUCAGGAGGAACACCGGUGGCGAAGGCGGGUCUCUGGACCGAUACUGACGCUGAGGAGCGAAAGCGUGGGGAGCGAACAGG
RNAcentral lists this ribosomal RNA (253 nucleotides) under uncultured bacterium. RNAcentral describes it as "partial 16S ribosomal RNA". It matches the Rfam family "Bacterial small subunit ribosomal RNA", at positions 524 to 776 of the family's 1533-position model. The record is from RNAcentral.